GGGAAUAUAGCUCAGUUGGUAGAGUGCUUGCCUCCCAUGCACAAGGCCCUGGGUUCAAUCCCCAGCACAACCA
RNAcentral lists this transfer RNA (73 nucleotides) under Marmota marmota marmota (Alpine marmot). It matches the Rfam family "tRNA". From Rfam's summary of the family: Transfer RNA (tRNA) molecules are approximately 80 nucleotides in length. The record is from Rfam by way of RNAcentral. RNAcentral also lists the same sequence under 2 other names. Lineage: Eukaryota; Metazoa; Chordata; Mammalia; Rodentia; Sciuridae.